Helianthus annuus (common sunflower) is the source of this 88-nucleotide non-coding RNA. The record is from Rfam. NCBI's taxonomy places the organism in Eukaryota, Viridiplantae, Streptophyta, Magnoliopsida, Asterales, Asteraceae.
AUUGGCAGAUGAUGAUAAAUCAGUUUUAUGCUUAACACUCUGAUUUAACCGUGGUGAUUAUAAACUCCGCUUAUUAUCUGAUGCCUAU